UCCUUGGUUGUUUGCCUGACUCCAAGCUA
RNAcentral lists this non-coding RNA (29 nucleotides) under Rattus norvegicus (Norway rat). The record is from RNAcentral. Lineage: Eukaryota; Metazoa; Chordata; Mammalia; Rodentia; Muridae.